UACAGAGGUCUCAAGCGUUGUUCGGAUUCAUUGGGCGUAAAGGGUGCGUAGGCGGCGCGGUAAGUCGGGUGUGAAAUCUUGGGGCUUAACUCCGAAAUUGCACCGGAUACUGCGUUGCUCGAGGACUGUAGAGGAGAUCGGAAUUCACGGUGUAGCAGUGAAAUGCGUAGAUAUCGUGAGGAAGACCAGUUGCGAAGGCGGAUCUCUGGGCAGUUCCUGACACUGAGGCACGAAGGCCAGGGGAGCAAACGGG
RNAcentral lists this ribosomal RNA (253 nucleotides) under uncultured bacterium. RNAcentral's name for it is "partial 16S ribosomal RNA". It matches the Rfam family "Bacterial small subunit ribosomal RNA", at positions 524 to 776 of the family's 1533-position model. The record is from RNAcentral.